GUGGUCCCUUUGGCAGCACACACACUAAAAUUGGAACUACACAGAGAAGAUUAGCAUGGCUCCUGCCUAAGGAUGACAUGCAAAUUCAUGAAGCAUUCCAUAUUUUG
This 107-nucleotide small nuclear RNA is filed under the name Dasypus novemcinctus (nine-banded armadillo). Lineage: Eukaryota; Metazoa; Chordata; Mammalia; Cingulata; Dasypodidae. The record is from RNAcentral.